Marmota monax (woodchuck) is the source of this 974-nucleotide long non-coding RNA. RefSeq lists it as uncharacterized. The transcript has 2 exons. The record is from RefSeq and is a predicted model, not a curated record. Lineage: Eukaryota; Metazoa; Chordata; Mammalia; Rodentia; Sciuridae.
ACAUUGCAUCAGACCGUAAUUGGCAGCUCCCAGGACUCCUCUGCUGGAGUGACACUGCAUGCCCAGGAAAAACUCAGUCCAUUUCUUUAAAAAAUUAUAUUUUGACCCUCUUCCUCUGCCUGGUUGUAAUAUCCUGUUCUUAAGGAAAUGGAACCCCUGGGGGAGCAAAGGCAAAACUGGUUUUGCAGAUAAGUUGGAAAAUUAUGGCUAUUGCCCUUCCCCACCCACUCUGGUCUCUUAGCAACAAGACAGCUGGUGGUAUCCACCAGAAAGAAAGAGCCCAGAGCUUGCAGAGGAGCCAGUCUGAAUUCUUGCCUGCAGCCUGAUUUAUUUAAACCUCUGCUGCAUUCCUGGGCGUAGAGACCCAGGAGUCCAGUCAAGGGAGCAUCCCCUGCCCUUCGUGUGACCUCUAAUGUGGCAGAAGUGAUGUGUCAUCUGAGCACCUCUCCAUUCUUGAACUCGUGGAACCCUGUUAUGGAUACGUGAUUCAGUCUGGCUGAGCCUCCUGGAGGAAGACCAUGAUGAGAGACCCCGCCUGUCCCUGCCUUGGCCUUUCUGGACCAAGUACCGCAGCAGACCUUUCAGCUGAUUUUAGAUGUAGGAGUUAGCCCAGCUGAGAUCAGCCAAGCUCAACCCAGACCAGAAUGACCUCCCUGACCUUUAGAAUUGUGAGCUAACUUUUGGAAUCCUAACAAACUCACCCAAAGUCCUGGCAAAUCCCCUCUGGGAGACAGUAUCAUGACUACAUCAGAUGGCCAGAAAUAUUAACUAGAAAUGUUCGUAAUCAUUAGCUAGAAAUGUUCACAAACUACAGUGUGCUCAGGUCAGGGUAGGGAGAAAGGCUUUGAGGACCUGCUGGAUGAAAAGUAAAGGACUUUAGCAGGAACAUGAGUUCUGCCUCCAGAGAGUUCUACAUCAGAGAAAUGGGACAAAGAAUUUGUAGCUUCUGUGGUGGAUUAAAUAAUUGGCUACAA